CCUACGGGGGGCAGCAGUGAGGAAUAUUGGUCAAUGGGCUUACGCCUGAACCAGCCAAGUCGCGUGAGGGAAGACUGCCCUAUGGGUUGUAAACCUCUUUUGUCAGGGAGCAAUUGGCGCUACGUGUAGCGUUAUCGAGAGUACCUGAAGAAAAAGCAUCGGCUAACUCCGUGCCAGCAGCCGCGGUAAUACGGAGGAUGCGAGCGUUAUCCGGAUUGAUUGGGUUUAAAGGGUGCGUAGGCGGAAUGCCAAGUCAGCGGUAAAAUCGCGGGGCUCAACCUCGCUCCGCCGUUGAAACUGGCGUUCUUGAGUGGGCGAGAAGUAUGUGGAAUGCGUGGUGUAGCGGUGAAAUGCAUAGAUAUCACGCAGAACUCCGAUUGCGAAGGCAGCAUACCGGCGCCCAACUGACGCUGAAGCACGAAAGCGUGGGUAUCGAACAGGAUUAGAUACCCUUGUAGUC
Molecule: ribosomal RNA, 460 nt
Filed under: uncultured bacterium
Lineage: Bacteria
Description: partial 16S ribosomal RNA
Rfam family: Bacterial small subunit ribosomal RNA
Source: RNAcentral